GAUGAACGCUGGCGGCGUGCUUAACACAUGCAAGUCGAACGGUGAAGGCGGAGCUUGCUCUGCUGGAUCAGUGGCGAACGGGUGAGUAACACGUGAGCAAUCUGCCCCUGACUCUGGGAUAAGCGCUGGAAACGGCGUCUAAUACUGGAUACGAGCUGCGAAGGCAUCUUCAGCAGCUGGAAAGAACUUCGGUCAGGGAUGAGCUCGCGGCCUAUCAGCUUGUUGGUGAGGUAACGGCUCACCAAGGCGUCGACGGGUAGCCGGCCUGAGAGGGUGACCGGCCACACUGGGACUGAGAGACGGACCAGACUCCUACGGGAGGCAGCAGUGGGGAAUAUUGCACAAUGGGCGAAAGCCUGAUGCAGCAACGCCGCGUGAGGGACGACGGCCUUCGGGUUGUAAACCUCUUUUAGCAGGGAAGAAGCGAAAGUGACGGUACCUGCAGAGAAAGCGCCGGCUAACUACGUG
Molecule: ribosomal RNA, 468 nt
Filed under: uncultured bacterium
Lineage: Bacteria
Description: partial 16S ribosomal RNA
Rfam family: Bacterial small subunit ribosomal RNA
Source: RNAcentral